RNAcentral lists this ribosomal RNA (119 nucleotides) under Salmo salar (Atlantic salmon). The record is from RNAcentral. Lineage: Eukaryota; Metazoa; Chordata; Actinopteri; Salmoniformes; Salmonidae.
GUUUACGGCCAUACCAUCUUGAAUACGCUCCAUCUCAUCUGACCUUGGAAGCUAAGCAGUGUCAGGCCUGGUUAGUACUUGUUUGGGAGACUGCUUGGUAAUACCAGGUGCUUUUUGCC